Oreochromis aureus is the source of this 5940-nucleotide long non-coding RNA. Lineage: Eukaryota; Metazoa; Chordata; Actinopteri; Cichliformes; Cichlidae. The record is from Ensembl.
AUUGUUUCUUUAGAAAUGGGAGUGGCAGUUCUUGGGAAAAAAGUAAAAGACAUGCUUCAGGUUUGCAUAUCUGCAGCUGAGCUCUUGGUGUCUGAGUGUCUUCUUUGACAGCAUGAACACUACUUUGGAAGAGAUAUGCAAGGCAGUCCUUGUGUCUGCAGGAGCUGGUGGAGUUGUGAUUCUGACUCCUGCCAUUGUCGCUGGAAUGGGGUUCACUUCAGCUGGAAUAGUAGCAGGCUCCAUCGCUGCCAAACUGAUGUCACUUUUUGCAGUCUUUGGUGGAGGUGGAGUUGUAGCAGGAGGUCUCAUAGCAACCUUGCAGUCCUGGGGUGCAGCAGGUCUGUCAUGGGCUGCCACUUUAUUGUUUGGCAGUGUUGGUGGAGCAGCUGCUUGGUUGAUCUCAACUGUGUGUAAUGUGACUGUGAAAUAUGAAGAGUAACACAUUGAAUAAACACAAACUGACCUACAAAUGAUUCCUCCUGUGACAAAUUAGUCUGACUCAAUAGCCUGAAUUAAGCUUUAUGUUUUAUGUACAAAGGACAGAUAGUCAGAUUAAAGCAUGAUUUGAGAACUGAGUUACAAAAAUGAUUGCUGAUGAUUUUUACCCACCAUUUUCAAAUAAAAUAUAAUUGAAGAGGAUGAAGAUGCUUUAUCUGAUCCAAAGACUGAUAUGAUGCUUUUGUUCUCUUCACAUAUUUAAUGUAAAAAUGAAAACACAUGCAAAUUAAAAGUAUAGUUGUUUUUAUUGUAAACAUAAUGCAUCUAACUGGGCCAUAUUCUUUUUGGCCCAAAGAUUUUAUCAUACAUGAAAUACAUUAGUGACACAGAUUAAAUGCCAGUAAUUCAUUUACAAUAGUUUAAAUACUGGAAAUCAUUUUUGGCAGAUCAUUAAUGUGUGUAUCAUGUUUGAGAUCAUAUGACAAGCAUAAUAUGUCAGCCUUCUGACCGAAUUAUGUAAAGGAUGGGCCCAUGUCGCUUUUUCGGGCUAUAACCGGCCGGGCCCCAUAGCCUAAGCCCCGGCCACCAGAUGCUUGCCCGGGAACCCUCCCUGGGCCUCCGGAGUGGGGUGAACUGUUCCCUUGACUGUAAACUGAUAAGGGUGUUUUGAAUCGCCCUUUGUCUGGUCCCUCACCCAGGACCAAUUUGCCAUGGGAGUCUUUACCAGGGGGACAACAUAGCCCCUAGGAUCCAUGGGGAAAACAAACCCCUCCACCUCAAUAAGGUAGCGAUUCAUAGAGGGUGAGUUAACUUGUUUCUGAGUAAGAACAUUGUGAAGUUAAGCCGUCAACGAUGAUGUGUUAAUGGCUAUCCCAGCUGUUGCUCAGCCAUGUGGUUGUACAUGGGCAAUUGUGAAGAGUGAACUUUCUAUUAUAUUUUGUUUGCUUCUUGAAAAGCUGUAGAGUGUGUGUUUGUGCAUCAACCCUAGCUGUUUACUGUGAAGUGAAUACACUAAAGAAAAGAGGUUAUGUUUUUUUGUAGUUGUGCUACGAUGCCGCACUGUAACUUUAGGAGAGCCAAUUUGUUGUUUACUUUGGUAAGAAAUGAUCAUUAUCAGUAUUUUGGGGAUAUUUUGUGAUUCUUUGUGUUCACUGGAAAGGGAAAGGGAAAAUGCAAAUUUGCAAAUCUCAAUUUGCUUUUUGAGAUCAUCUCUACAUCAUAUAAGCUCACAAUUCUAUCAUUACAGAAAACUUAACAUCUUAACAUUUCCAGCUGAGCUGUGGUAAGAUGUUUUGUUUUCUUUCUUGUGUUUCAGUGACAGCUGUAGCAAUCAGUCGGGGCAGGUAACAAACUUGUUUGCUUAUUUAUUUUUAUCACUGAACCUCACUCACGGGAGAAGUCAUAAAUAUCAUACAUUUAUGUAUUUUGAAGCAUCCUGAUGAUCAGUAAUGUUGUAAUCUUCACUCUAUACCUCCAGUCCUUUUGUCACCCAGCUGAAAAGAAACACUGAAGUCACAAACAUCUGUAAUGCUUUUAUUUAAAAAGAACCUCUGCGCAGAUGGAGAUCAUGCAACCGACGAGCAGUCCCGCAGAUCCUUACAUUUAUACUUGGUGGCCGCACCCCGAUUGGUCAUUUCAUGGUUAUCAAAACCAAACCAAAUUUGGCCCAAGGUGGGAUUGUGAAAUGAGGCGAACAGAGGAUCGGUCUUAUAGAAUUUAAAGGUAAGCACCACCUGUUAAAGCAAAAGUGUGCAGAUUGGAUGAAUUCUAAAUUAUCUGCUCGCUGAUUUAAUGAUCUUCACCGUUAAAUUGGCUCAGAAGUGGUGAAAUAUUAGAGUAAGAGACAUAAAAGGUAACCACAGUCUGUUGAUUGUAAAAAAAAAAAAAGAAAAGAAAGAAAGAAAAACAGAAAGAACUUAAUUAAAUUAUAAAGUAUGGUCAGUAGAUUUGUGGUCAAUGUUCGGGGUAAUGUGUAAUUGGGGUGAAUUUUAAAGUUGAUGUGUUGUGUGUAAUGUUAACUGUGUUGUGAUUAAAACUUUGCCGGAGUUUUGAUUGUUGUUUUUAAAUUUAUUUAAAUUAAUUUAGGACUGAAGUUGGAUUUCUAAGAAGUGCAAGUGUUCAGAGGGUGACGCCUCCACUUCAACACGGACGUGUGUUGGAGACCCACGGCGACGGGACAGUUCGGUUGGUUACCGAGAAGACUGGGGACUUUCGUUAAUAACUAGUGGUCAAGGACCACUUUUUCGUCUGGGACGAUAUAUGCACUUGUUUGGCCGAGAAAGCUGGGCUUGGAUGUUGGACGCUUCUAAAAAUAAAAUAGGUUUUGUAGAAAUCGGGCCAAUCACAGUUUGGAACUGAUACUGGUUAACUGGUUAGAGAAAAAGGCUGGACCUUGGCGUUGGACGCUUGUAAAGUUGUCGAAAUUGUUUAGGGAAAACUGGUACCAGUACAGGAUGAUGAAAAGUGUGUCAUGGAAACAUUGUAUAAUGUAUCUUGGCAUUUGGUGUUUUGUUAUACGGUUUAGGGCCUGGAUGGCUUGAGGAUAGAAGCUCCUCUUGAGUCUCUGUGUCCUUGCCCAGAUGAUGCGGAACCUUCUACCAGAUUGUAGAAGUUGGAACAGUUUGUUGCCAGGAUGGGACGGGUCCUUCAGUAUCUGCGUUGCUCUAGUCCGGCAUCUCCUGGUGUAGGUGUCCUGAAGCGGGGGGAGAGCAAUCCUGCAGCAGCGUUCUGCUGUACGGAUCACUCUCUGGAGAGCUUCUUGGUCCUUCACACAGCUGUUCCCAAACCACGAUGUCAUGUUCUGUGUGAGGAUGCUCUCCACAGCGCCUGUAUAGAAGAUCCUGAGGAUCUUUGGAGAGACCCUGAACUUCCUCAGUUGUCGUAGGUGAUACAGGCGCUGCCUAGCCUUUUUGGUCUGGACCUGAAUGUGGGCAGCCCAUGUCAGGUCUGAGGAGAUGUGGACGCCAAGAUACUUAAAGGACUGCACCCUCUCCACUGGAGCUCCAUUAAUGAUAAUGGGCUUGUAGUCUCUGUGCUGACUCCUUCUGAAGUCCACCACCAGCUCCUUGGUCUUGCCGACGUUCAGCUGGAGGUGGUUGUCCUGGCACCAUGAUGCCAGAUUCUUCACUUCGUCCAUGUAGGCCGCCUCAUCACUGUUGGAGAUGGCACCCAACACCACUGUGUCGUCAGCAAACUUCACAAUGGUGUUGGAGCCGUGGGUGGCCACACAGUCUGAAGUGUAGAGGGAGUAGAGCAGUGGCGAGAGGACACACCCCUGUGGUGCUCCUGUGUUGGUGGUGAUGCUGUCGGAGACACACCUACCCGCCCUCACCACCUGAGUUCUGCCAGUGAGGAAGUCCAACACCCACGCACACAGACGGCUGUUGAGUCCCAGAUCCCUCAGCUUUGUGAACAGUCUGCUGGGCACUAUUGUGUUAAACCAUUGACUGUAGAAAACAUGGACGACGCGACAGCUCCCCAAAAAUGAAGCCAAAACGUCUCUAUCGCCCCCUGGUGUCUGGCUGCAGUAUAGGUCAUAAACCCCGCCUCCUCCAUGUUAGCGGAUGGGACUGGGGUCAGACUAAAAUAAAUUAAUUCUCCUUAGAUAAUUUUUUUCCAAAGAUUCUUUCUUUUGUUAUCAAUAGUUCUCAUCAUGCUGAUUGAUGUCCAAGAGGUCUCCUUUCCCAUAAGUUUGAUUCUAAUUCCUACCGCGGUGAUGUUAAAUUGGGGUGAAACGUCAUCAUAACAGCUUUGACUGUCAGCUGCAGUCACGGAGAAACUUGCGUAUCUCUGUUCGCGAAUAGCAGAUAGAGCGUAGGCUCUGAGAGGACGCCCAGCGUUUACGCUACGAAAACACGACCGAGUGUUUUAACCUGACAGCCUGAGGUGUUCUUCAGAAAACUGGACUACCCGACAGAAGGACCCGAGGCCCCGCUGCACUUUUUCGGUAAGUUAAACAUGUUUGUAAGCUAAUCCGUAACUACCGUCCUUAGCUCAGUCCUGAGACCUAGCUAGUUAAGAUGAGCACUCGGCUGUCAGGGUUCGUUUAGCUGUGCAGGUGAAUGAAUUUACUAAAGAAAUCAAGAGAAACGCCCCGGGCUGCUCAGUCACUAAUUACUGUUACUGUACUUUUAUUACAAGUAUUAUACUGUAAAAGCAACAGGCUGCACCCUGCUGCAGCUCCUGUGCAGAGCUGAAUAUUAAAUAUGUGCAAACAACAGCAUGUUUUCAGUCUCUUGCCACAUCUGUAAAGACAGUAACAUUUUUUUUAAAAGCUUGUAUUUCAGUAACUCCUCAUUAAUCAGGAAAUAUGGAUUAAAGUACUGUAGUGUACUGUAAUACUGAAAAAAAUGUAAGAGAAGAACUUCAGAUCCUGAGUGUGUGAGGACAGAAGAAUCAGCUUCAUUUCAAUUUUGAGGGAUAAAAUUUAUAUCCGAGUUUGAUGGUUCUGUUCUCUUUGUGAUUACAGGAGCUGCCCCCAGAUUCAGACCUCAGCACCACCCAGUGACAGCAGACAGAUCAUCCAACAUGUUCACAUGUUAACUGUAAAAUGAACUGAUGAAAACAGUGCAAAGGUUAAAGUACCACACGUACUAUAGUGAAAGCUGCAGCUUUAUUGAUAAAGUUAAAGACAAAAAAACAAAAGGAUUAAUCUCUCAUGUAACUGUGUCACUAUACAUCAGUAUUAACAGGACCUCAGUUUGGUGUUUCAUAAAGCUGCUGAUCUCAGACCUGCACAGCUUCCGUUUUAAACACUUGAUGUACUCAGCUGCAUGAAGAGCAUAUGAAAUUUUCUCUAACACAAUUAAAUAAAACCUGAUGAAGGUCGAAGGUCAAAGGUCGUCACUUGUAUGUUGAACUACAAACUUGUCAUCUGGAAUUUUUUCAGUUUUUUUACACAUAGUGUGUUAUUUACCAUAAAGUGAUUCAGAGUUAUUCAUACCAGAGUAACCAGAGAGGAUCAUAUAUUUUUAAAUAUAUAACUUUCUACAGGACUGAAUAUAAUAUCUUUAUGUAAAAGUCCGGAGCCUCUGGGGAGUAUCUUGAGUAUUUAUAACAUUACACAAACCAAAGGUCUCCAUCACAGUGUUCAUGAAAUGCUGGGUUUAUCCAUCUCCUGGGGCGGGCCUACGGAGGAGUGCUGAAGAUUUCCCUGUGAGGGAGCUGCUGGUGAAGAUCAUGAGUCCUGCUUGAUCAAUGCGAUGAGCUUCAGUCUUCCUGGUGUUUCUUAAAUGAUGCCUCUUACAGCGGGUCAACAGAACUUAUGGCACAGGACAUCUGUGAUGAAAGAAAGGGAAGAAGUUUCUCCAAACCUCUGGACCCAGGAAACCCAGCUUGGUCCUGAUGGUCUCCCUCACUAGUUUCUCUCCAGGGUGAAUGUAGCUGUUGAUACAAUAUGGACUCUAUUAUUAAAUGAAAAGAACAAAUUAGACUACACUACUGAAACGUUCUGCUGAUGUUUUUAAAGUCUCCAUGUUACCAGGCUGUAGAGGGCUCUGAAGA